GCCAGACUCCUACGGGAGGCAGCAGUGGGGGAUAUUGCACAAUGGGGGGAACCCUGAUGCAGCGACGCCGCGUGGGUGAAGGAGCGUUUCGGCGCGUAAAGCCCUAUCGGCAGGGAAGAAGGAGGACGGUACCUGACUAAGAAGCCCCGGCUAACUACGUGCCAGCAGCCGCGGUAAUACGUAGGGGGCAAGCGUUAUCCGGAUUUACUGGGUGUAAAGGGCGUGUAGCCGGGCUGACAAGUCAGAUGUGAAAUUCCGGGGCUCAACCCCGGACCUGCAUUUGAAACUGUUGGUCUUGAGUAUCGGAGAGGCAGGCGGAAUUCCUAGUGUAGCGGUGAAAUGCGUAGAUAUUAGGAGGAACACCAGUGGCGAAGGCGGCCUGCUGGGCUUUUACUGACGCUGAGGCUCGAAAGCGUGGUUAGCAAACAGGAUUAGAUACCCUAGUAA
RNAcentral lists this ribosomal RNA (447 nucleotides) under uncultured bacterium. RNAcentral's name for it is "partial 16S ribosomal RNA". It matches the Rfam family "Bacterial small subunit ribosomal RNA", at positions 330 to 793 of the family's 1533-position model. The record is from RNAcentral.